This 406-nucleotide ribosomal RNA is filed under the name uncultured bacterium. RNAcentral's name for it is "partial 16S ribosomal RNA". It matches the Rfam family "Bacterial small subunit ribosomal RNA", at positions 30 to 526 of the family's 1533-position model. The record is from RNAcentral.
AUUGAACGCUGGCGGCAUGCCUAAUACAUGCAAGUCGAACGAAUGGCGGACUGGUGAGUAAUGUCUGGGCACCUGCCCGAUGUAGGGGGAUAACUACUGGAAACGGUAGCUACUACCGCAUACCAUCGGAUGUGCCCUGGUUGGAUUAUCUAGUAGGUGGGGUAACGGCUCACCUUGGCGACGAUCCCUAGCUGGUCGGAGAGGAUGACCAGCCACACUGGAACUGAGACACGGUCCAGACUCCUACGGGAGGCAGCAGUGGGGAAUAUUGCGCAAUGGGCGCAAGCCUGAUGCAGCCAUGCCGCGUGUAUGAAGAAGGCUUUCGGGUUGUAAAGUACUGUCAGCGAGGAAGCGUUACUCACAGAAGAAGCACCGGCUAACUACGUGCCAGCAGCCGCGGUAAUUC